RNAcentral lists this ribosomal RNA (253 nucleotides) under uncultured bacterium. RNAcentral describes it as "partial 16S ribosomal RNA". It matches the Rfam family "Bacterial small subunit ribosomal RNA", at positions 524 to 776 of the family's 1533-position model. The record is from RNAcentral.
UACGUAGGAGGCGAGCGUUGUCCGGAAUCACUGGGCGUAAAGCGCGUGUAGGCGGGGGGGCAAGUCUGCUGUGAAAGCGCCUGGCUUAACCGGGCGAGGUCGGCGGAAACUGCUUCCCUGGAGGGCGGUAGAGGGGGGUGGAAUUCCCGGUGUAGUGGUGAAAUGCGUAGAGAUCGGGAGGAACACCCGUGGCUAAGGCGGCCAUCUGGAUCAACACUGACGCUGAGGCACGAAAGCGUGGGGAGCAAACAGG